UCGGACACACUGGAACUGAGACACGGUCCAGACUCCUACGGGAGUGCAGCAGUAGGGAAUAUUGCUCAAUGGGGGAAACCCUGAAGCAGCAACGCCGCGUGGAGGAUGAAGGUUUUCGGAUUGUAAACUCCUUUUGUUAGAGAAGAUUAUGACGGUAUCUAACGAAUAAGCACCGGCUAACUCCGUGCCAGCAGCCGCGGUAAUACGGAGGGUGCAAGCGUUACUCGGAAUCACUGGGCGUAAAGAGCGCGUAGGCGGGGUAGCAAGUCAGAUGUGAAAUCCUAUGGCUUAACCAUAGAACUGCAUUUGAAACUGUUACUCUAGAGUGUGGGAGAGGUAGG
This 341-nucleotide ribosomal RNA is filed under the name uncultured Helicobacter sp. Its description in RNAcentral is "bacterial SSU rRNA". It matches the Rfam family "Bacterial small subunit ribosomal RNA", at positions 304 to 661 of the family's 1533-position model. The record is from RNAcentral. Lineage: Bacteria; Pseudomonadati; Campylobacterota; Epsilonproteobacteria; Campylobacterales; Helicobacteraceae.